RNAcentral lists this transfer RNA (84 nucleotides) under Endomicrobiia bacterium. RNAcentral describes it as "tRNA-Leu". It matches the Rfam family "tRNA". Rfam says of the family: Transfer RNA (tRNA) molecules are approximately 80 nucleotides in length. Their secondary structure includes four short double-helical elements and three loops (D, anti-codon, and T loops). Lineage: Bacteria; Pseudomonadati; Elusimicrobiota; Endomicrobiia. The record is from RNAcentral.
UGCGGGCGUGGCGGAAUUGGCAGACGCGUAUGGCUUAGGACCAUAUACCGUAAGGUGUGGGGGUUCAAGUCCCUCCGUCCGCAU